Molecule: ribosomal RNA, 496 nt
Filed under: uncultured bacterium
Lineage: Bacteria
Description: partial 16S ribosomal RNA
Rfam family: Bacterial small subunit ribosomal RNA
Source: RNAcentral
GACGAACGCUGGCGGCGUGCCUAAUACAUGCAAGUUGAGCGCUGAAGGUUGGUACUUGUACCAACUGGAUGAGCAGCGAACGGGUGAGUAACGCGUGGGGAAUCUGCCUUUGAGCGGGGGACAACAUUUGGAAACGAAUGCUAAUACCGCAUAAAAACUUUAAACACAAGUUUUAAGUUUGAAAGAUGCAAUUGCAUCACUCAAAGAUGAUCCCGCGUUGUAUUAGCUAGUUGGUGAGGUAAAGGCUCACCAAGGCGAUGAUACAUAGCCGACCUGAGAGGGUGAUCGGCCACAUUGGGACUGAGACAGGGCCAAACUCCUACGGGAGGCAGCAGUAGGGAAUCUUCGGCAAUGGACGAAAGUCUGACCGAGCAACGCCGCGUGAGUGAAGAAGGUUUUCGGAUCGUAAAACUCUGUUGGUAGAGAAGAACGUUGGUGAGAGUGGAAAGCUCAUCAAGUGACGGUAACUACCCAGAAAGGGACGGCUAACUACGUG